GAGAAGCUUGGAUUCCAGGUCAUACAUGCAUAUGGUCUCACGGAAACAUAUGGUCCGGGAACUGUCUGCACAUGGAAGCCUGAGUGGGACGUGUUACCCCUUGAGGAACGGUCGAAAUUGAAAUCCCGACAGGGGCUUCACCAUAUCGGGAUGGACAAGGUUGACAUCAAAGAUCCGAUCACUAUGAAGAGUGUUCCAGCUGAUGGGCAGACAAUGGGUGAGGUGAUGUUUCAA
RNAcentral lists this unclassified non-coding RNA (234 nucleotides) under Hevea brasiliensis (rubber tree). Lineage: Eukaryota; Viridiplantae; Streptophyta; Magnoliopsida; Malpighiales; Euphorbiaceae. The record is from RNAcentral.